CUGGGGUGAAGUCGUAACAAGGUAGCCGUAUCGGGAGGUGCGGCUGGAUCACCUCCUUUCUAAGGAGAAUU
RNAcentral lists this ribosomal RNA (71 nucleotides) under Clostridioides difficile. RNAcentral's name for it is "partial 16S ribosomal RNA". The stretch from base 1 to 59 matches the Rfam family "Bacterial small subunit ribosomal RNA", at positions 1475 to 1533 of the family's 1533-position model. Lineage: Bacteria; Bacillati; Bacillota; Clostridia; Peptostreptococcales; Peptostreptococcaceae. The record is from RNAcentral.